Long non-coding RNA from Mauremys reevesii (Reeves's turtle), 719 nucleotides. RefSeq lists it as uncharacterized. The record is from RefSeq and is a predicted model, not a curated record. The transcript is spliced from 4 exons. Lineage: Eukaryota; Metazoa; Chordata; Testudines; Geoemydidae.
UGUUUUAGGAGACCACUUUAAAGGAAGUGGGCAAUUAACACCUCUGCAAUCCUAGGACAAAGGAGAGUAAUAGGCAGUAAGGUUGUCUCGGGAUAUUUGGGUGGCCGUCCCAGGAUGAGUUCUACUUCUCUGUUUGAUCACAACACAGGAACAGCAGGAGCAGCAGCACCAACGUCCCCAGCUAGUUGGAUAUGGAAUUCAUCAUCACUUCUCGGCCUAAACUGCGGUGUAAAGUUGUGCUGCUAAAGAGCUGCCACAUUUCACCCCAGAGGCGGCUGCAUUUUGCUGUAAACAGGACCAUCAGGACAGCAGUGGGAGGCGAUUGCAAGUUACAGAACAAUUCGCAUUUUAGCAAGCACCAGGAGGGGAAGAAAACAGCAAGGAGCUGUUCACCACCAGACUCCAUGUCACCUUCCUCACAGCGGGAACAAACCAGACUUUGAGGGGUAACCUUCAGAAGAAUCAAAUUCAAAAGUUCCCUGGACUGUAAAAGAAAGUGGCAGAACCCUCCAAGUUCUCUCUUUCGCCUACCAAGGCAGAGAAACCAGCAAUUUGGGCUUCUAGAAGAGAUCCUGAUGGAGGAUAAGCCAUCACAUUGCUGGAAGACUGUGGGUGAGAAAAGCCAUCUUCAACAACACCUGUGCCUUGCUAGGUUCAGUUUGAGAGGUUUAGGUGUGUGUUUUCACUUUUUUUAGCUUGAAACCAUUUCUAACUUUAUC